This is a non-coding RNA of Delphinapterus leucas (beluga whale), 698 nucleotides long. NCBI's taxonomy places the organism in Eukaryota, Metazoa, Chordata, Mammalia, Artiodactyla, Monodontidae. The record is from RefSeq and is a predicted model, not a curated record.
AGUUCCAAGUGAAACCAACUGUGGAAAUAAGCUUCAGUGAUGAGCUGUCCCAGGACAUGAUGAACUUAUGCUGGAGGUACAGUUUGCUGAGGUUUGUUGGUGGAGUUCCUUUCUAAGAAUUGCCCUUGACUGAAGGAGGCUGCCUCACCAAGGUUAAAUCCCCUCACUUGGACAGCCUAUGGAUAGGCUGGAUCCUGACUGGAUUGCUCAGUCUAAGGGAGAGUGAAAAUUGGUGUGAACAUUUAAGAAGAAGUUGUGGAGUACCUAACAAAUAUGGAGUUAAACAAAGCAAAUUUAUCAGGCAGAUGAAAGGUUUGAGAGCUCAGUGACUUUUGAACUGGUGUCUGGGUUGUGCCGGGACACAAAACCAGACCUGCUUAUGGUAGAAAAGAUAUGUGAACUGAAUCCAUCAAGGAUCUGGGCAAGAGCUUCCGGGGGAACACUAAAGAUUUAAAUAAGGGAAUACAAGCCACAGAGAAGUGGUUCUCAAAGUUGAGCAUGCUUCAGAAUCUCCUGGAGGGCUUGUUGAAACUAUGCUGGGCCCCACCCCCAGAAUUUCUGAUUCAGCUUUAAAGCAGAAGCUUUAAGAUCCAAUGUAUGGUCCCACUGUUGCUCCUUUUCUUCUGGUAUGACACCAGUAAUGUCUCAGAUAGCAUCAAUUUCUUCACCCUGGGUCCCAGACAGAAGAACCAAGCUGA